GCGGGGCUGCCACAAUCCCCCCUUGCCUCGACGAACUCCGGUCCGUUGCUGCUGCGGCGCCCAGAUCCGCGGCGGACCUCCCCCCGUGCUGUCCUCUAUGGCCAGAUCCGGUCUCCCGAGGGCCUGCUCUGCCAUCAACGGGAGGUCUGCAGCAGUCGCCGCCCUCCACGCCGCCACGGCCGCCGUCCCUCCAUGCCGCCGCGGACUCCGGGAAAUAAGAGAGAAGAUCUUUACCUUGACAUUAGACAAUGCUAGCAACAACACGACUGCAUGUGAGCUAUUAGUAACAGAUUGCAAGUAUGACCUAAUGUUUGGCGGAGAUCAUCUACAUGUUAGAUGUUGUGCCCACAUACUUAACAUCUUGGUUCAAGAUGGGAUGAGGACAAUACAUUCAGCGAUCAAAAUGAUACGUGAGCUAUUAAAGCACAUUGACUCAUCGCCAUCAAGACUCCAAGCAUUCAAUUCAAUUGCAAAUGGAAAGGGUGCAGCCUCAAAAGCUGGUAUCUAUCUUGAUGUUCCAACCAGAUGGAACUCUACCUACAAAAUGAUUAGAGAAGCAUCGGAUUACAAGGCUGUUCUAAAUGCUUAUGCUUCAAAAUAUUUGGAAGUUUGUCCUAGUGAAGAAGAAUGGAUGAAAGAGGAAGCAAUUUGUGAGUUUCUCAAAGAUUUUGAAGAUCUCACUCUUGCUGUUUUAGCCGACAUGAAACCAACGGCACACAUGCAUGUUUCUGCCCUUAGUCAUUUGCAUCCAACAUGCACUAAAGGUAGACCCAGCCUUGCAGUCAACUGACUUGCUGAAGGAGUUGGCAUCAUCCAUGUGUUCUAAAUUUGAGAAGUACUUGGAGCUAGAUGAAGCUAACCCUCGAAGUAAAGAUCACAACCCCCUUAGAAAGAAUAAGGAAAUUGCAUUUAACCUUGCACUAGUCAUUGCCACUUUAUUAGAUCCAAGAAAGAAAAAAAUUCUAUUUGGAUUUCUUUUUCAAGAAGGUGUGCAAAAAUGUAGAUCAGAUUGGUACUCGUGUGGAAUUUGACUUGGUGUGGAUGAGAAAGUAUUUCACAUUGUAUGAGCAAAAGAAUACAAGGACAAGCUGCACAAAUACAAGUACUUCACAUAGUAUGAGCAGUAGCAAUAUCAUGGGCUCACCGGCUCUAGGGAAAAGAAAAAUUGAUGCCGAGUUUGCUCAGUACAAGUUUGAAGUGAUGCUUUCAUAGUCCCAAAAAUCUGAGAUUGAUGUCUACUUGGAAGAAGAGCCUGAAAAUAACAUAGAAGAUUUUGAUGUUCUAUCUUGGUGGAGAAGCAAAGCUGCAAAGUUUCUAGUUCUUUCAGCUAUGGCUCGGGAUUUCCUUGCAAUUCCUCUUAGCACGGUGUCAUCCGAAUCUGCUUUCAGUUUAGGGGGAAGGAUUCUUGGAGAUCAUAGAAGCUCACUAACUCCGGAAAUGCUUGAGGCCCUUGUCUGCGUGAAAGAUUGGCUAUAUAAGACCAAAGAUCCUAAAUUCUGUUUUGAUGGUGAAGGUUUUGAGCAAGAGUAAAAGUAUCACCUCAAUGAAGUCCCUAGUGAAUCUAAGCAUAUCAUAAUUGGGGUCUUCUACUUUGUGGGGUUUGGGCUGUUCUGUUUGGAGCCCUGCUAAGCAUUGCAGUUCUUCAGGUACUUGUUCCACCCAGUACAAGGCACUCAAGUGGUGCUCUCAGUUUAGAAGAUCAUCCUUGUUUCCUCAGUUUUAUUUAUCAAGGAAGCUAACCUCCGGUCCAUCAUCUCAACUUGAAAUAUGUGGCAUUGGUUCUGCAAUUUGCAAUAUGAACUAAGUAUUGUGAUCAGCCUUUGUGCAAUAUGAACUCAAUGUAGAAGUCAUUUUAUAUUCAGAUCUCAAGUUUCAUGUAUUAUCUUUGUUUUUUCUACUUCACUUGAUCCUGAUGGCUCACAUGGUCACAUUGAUCCAAAGCUUAAACACUUAGGUUCCCUGUCCAGUGUUAGUUUUUCAGUGACCCUCAAAGUUAUCUGUUGCGUGCAA
Molecule: long non-coding RNA, 2010 nt
Organism: Panicum virgatum (switchgrass)
Lineage: Eukaryota; Viridiplantae; Streptophyta; Magnoliopsida; Poales; Poaceae
Exons: 4
Source: RefSeq, a predicted model, not a curated record